UGACUCUUGUCGACAUCAUCUGCUAAGAGC
RNAcentral lists this non-coding RNA (30 nucleotides) under Mus musculus (house mouse). The record is from RNAcentral. Lineage: Eukaryota; Metazoa; Chordata; Mammalia; Rodentia; Muridae.